AAAAACAAAGCUUUGAGCAGUGGUAGUAUUGUAGCCAAUGAAGUUUAUCUGAGGUACAGUUAUUGCUAAUUGAAAAAUAAAUCAAACUAUAC
RNAcentral lists this small nuclear RNA (92 nucleotides) under Mus caroli (Ryukyu mouse). RNAcentral's name for it is "predicted gene, 24256 (MGP_CAROLIEiJ_G0034758.1)". It matches the Rfam family "U4 spliceosomal RNA", at positions 1 to 83 of the family's 138-position model. Rfam says of the family: U4 small nuclear RNA (U4 snRNA) is a component of the major U2-dependent spliceosome. The structure of U4 snRNA from yeast and human has been reported. U4 snRNA presents a k-turn RNA motif in the 5p-SL related to recognition of Snu13 protein. The record is from RNAcentral. Lineage: Eukaryota; Metazoa; Chordata; Mammalia; Rodentia; Muridae.